UACGUAGGUGGCAAGCGUUGUCCGGAUUUACUGGGUGUAAAGGGUGCGCAGGCGGAUUUGUAAGUCAGAGGUGAAAUCUUACGGCUCAACCGUGAAAUUGCCUUUGAUACUGCUUAUCUUGAGUCUGGAAGAGGUUGAUGGAAUUUUAGGUGUAGCAGUGAAAUGCGUAGAUAUCUAAAAGAACACCAGUGGCGAAGGCGGUCAACUGGUCCAAGACUGACGCUCAUGCACGAAAGCGUGGGGAGCAAACAGG
Molecule: ribosomal RNA, 253 nt
Filed under: uncultured bacterium
Lineage: Bacteria
Description: partial 16S ribosomal RNA
Rfam family: Bacterial small subunit ribosomal RNA
Source: RNAcentral